CCCUUAGAUGUUCUGGGUCGCACGCGCGCUACACUGAUGCAUUCAACGAGUUUUUCCUGGUCCGAGAGGAAUGGGUAACCUUUUGAAAGUGCAUCGUGCUAGGGAUAGACUAUUGCAAUUAUUGGUCUUCAACGAGGAAUUCCUAGUAGACGUAGUUCAUCAGACUGCAUCGAUUACGUCCCUGCCCUUUGUACACACCGCCCGUCGCUCCUACCGAUUGGAUGAUCCGGUGAGCUAUUCGGACCUUCGCUUCGUCGAUUUUCGGCUUUGUGAGGGAAAGUCUCGCGAACCUUAUCAUCUAGAGGAAGGAGAAGUCGUAACA
RNAcentral lists this ribosomal RNA (322 nucleotides) under uncultured eukaryote. RNAcentral's name for it is "partial 18S ribosomal RNA". It matches the Rfam family "Eukaryotic small subunit ribosomal RNA", at positions 1470 to 1796 of the family's 1831-position model. The record is from RNAcentral.